This is a long non-coding RNA of Pseudophryne corroboree (corroboree frog), 780 nucleotides long. RefSeq lists it as uncharacterized. The transcript is spliced from 2 exons. The record is from RefSeq and is a predicted model, not a curated record. NCBI's taxonomy places the organism in Eukaryota, Metazoa, Chordata, Amphibia, Anura, Myobatrachidae.
CACUGCACUAAUCAGCCUUGGUCUUCACUGCACUAAUCAGCCUUGGUCUUCACUGCACUAAUCAGCCUUGGUCUUCACUGCACUAAUCAGCCUUGGAAUGUGGGUAACACUCCUACAAUGCACUAGCCUCCACCACCACUUCUCAGAUGAAGUGGGCAGGCAAGGGGUAUGGUGGUGCAAUUCGCUAUGAAUCAAUACAUCCCACCAUGCCCCUAGUGAUGCAAAGAUGUCAAAAUAGAGAAUAGGCAAACUGUAAAAUGCCCACUUUACAUAAAAUGUGAAAGCACUGAUGCUGAAGACUAAAUACUAUCCAGCUACUGUACAACAAUCCUAUGUGAAUCAAUACAACAUGGUGCUAUAACACAGAGAACAAGUUCAAAAAAAGCCACACAGAAUAAGAACAUCGUCCUGUGCACAACAUGAAAGAUAAAAAACAUUGACUUGCACGGUUUUCUGCUCAUAAGCUGCCUUUUUAUUACAGCUUUAGACAUUCUCUCAAGAGGCUGCAACAUCAAACAUGAAACAAGGAGAAAAUAAGAGUCAACAUCAUGAUUUUUCCAUUAAAACCAGUCCUGCAUGGUGUUUCUCCUGAAUCCACAAUGGUUUUCUGUGUUCCAAGCAGAGAGAUGCAGAAAUACGUUCUGCUGUGUGGUUUUGUUAUAAAUCACAAAUGAAAUAUCCUUUACAAAAGAAGUUUAUUCAAUUUGAAACUAACAAAAUACAUAUUUAGGGAAUAUGUUCUUCCAGAUAGAAUAAAAGUUAUGUAGUCUGAAGCUGAAA